This 237-nucleotide long non-coding RNA is filed under the name Carica papaya (papaya). RNAcentral's name for it is "long non-coding RNA (CPAP_LNC013663)". Lineage: Eukaryota; Viridiplantae; Streptophyta; Magnoliopsida; Brassicales; Caricaceae. The record is from RNAcentral.
UCACCUGGAACACAUACCCUGCCCUGAAACCUGAGUAACCCAUCGGCGGAGACUCGGAAUUCUGAGCUAACUCCCUGUUCUGCAUCUUUCUUGAGGGUUACUAGGGCGGAAUCGGCGGACUGAGCUUCUCUUAUUCGCUGAAUUAACUCAGGCUGAAUGGUCAAAUAACCCAAACACGUGACUCUCCUCAAGUCCUAAAGUCGAACCUGUUAUGUGGCCCCAAUCUGCCUACAUUCU